AGUCGAACGAUGAAGCUUUUAGCUUGCUAGAAGUGGAUUAGUGGCGCACGGGUGAGUAAGGUAUAGUUAAUCUGCCCUACACAAGAGGACAACAGUUGGAAACGACUGCUAAUACUCUAUACUCCUGCUUAACACAAGUUGAGUAGGGAAAGUUUUUCGGUGUAGGAUGAGACUAUAUAGUAUCAGCUAGUUGGUAAGGUAAUGGCUUACCAAGGCUAUGACGCUUAACUGGUCUGAGAGGAUGAUCAGUCACACUGGAACUGAGACACGGUCCAGACUCCUACGGGAGGCAGCAGUAGGGAAUAUUGCGCAAUGGGGGAAACCCUGACGCAGCAACGCCGCGUGGAGGAUGACACUUUUCGGAGCGUAAACUCCUUUUCUUAGGGAAGAAUUCUGACGGUACCUAAGGAAUAAGCACCGGCUAACUCCGUGCCAGCAGCCGCGGUAAUACGGAGGGUGCAAGCGUUACUCGGAAUCACUGGGCGUAAAGGGCGCGUAGGCGGAUUAUCAAGUCUCUUGUGAAAUCUAAUGGCUUAACCAUUAAACUGCUUGGGAAACUGAUAGUCUAGAGUGAGGGAGAGGCAGAUGGAAUUGGUGGUGUAGGGGUAAAAUCCGUAGAUAUCACCAAGAAUACCCAUUGCGAAGGCGAUCUGCUGGAACUCAACUGACGCUAAGGCGCGAAAGCGUGGGGAGCAAACAGGAUUAGAUACCCUGGUAGUCCACGCCCUAAACGAUGUACACUAGUUGUUGGGAUGCUAGUCAUCUCAGUAAUGCAGCUAACGCAUUAAGUGUACCGCCUGGGGAGUACGGUCGCAAGAUUAAAACUCAAAGGAAUAGACGGGGACCCGCACAAGCGGUGGAGCAUGUGGUUUAAUUCGAAGAUACGCGAAGAACCUUACCUGGGCUUGAUAUCCUAAGAACCUUAUAGAGAUAUGAGGGUGCUAGCUUGCUAGAACUUAGAGACAGGUGCUGCACGGCUGUCGUCAGCUCGUGUCGUGAGAUGUUGGGUUAAGUCCCGCAACGAGCGCAACCCACGUAUUUAGUUGCUAACGGUUCGGCCGAGCACUCUAAAUAGACUGCCUUCGUAAGGAGGAGGAAGGUGUGGACGACGUCAAGUCAUCAUGGCCCUUAUGCCCAGGGCGACACACGUGCUACAAUGGCAUAUACAAUGAGACGCAAUACCGCGAGGUGGAGCAAAUCUAUAAAAUAUGUCCCAGUUCGGAUUGUUCUCUGCAACUCGAGAGCAUGAAGCCGGAAUCGCUAGUAAUCGUAGAUCAGCCAUGCUACGNNNNNUACGUUCCCGGGUCUUGUACUCACACGCCCGUCACACCAUGGGAGUUGAUUUCACUCGAAGCCGGAAUACUAA
This 1366-nucleotide ribosomal RNA is filed under the name Campylobacter jejuni. RNAcentral describes it as "bacterial SSU rRNA". It matches the Rfam family "Bacterial small subunit ribosomal RNA", at positions 60 to 1438 of the family's 1533-position model. Lineage: Bacteria; Pseudomonadati; Campylobacterota; Epsilonproteobacteria; Campylobacterales; Campylobacteraceae. The record is from RNAcentral.